Long non-coding RNA from Mauremys reevesii (Reeves's turtle), 2006 nucleotides. RefSeq lists it as uncharacterized. The record is from RefSeq and is a predicted model, not a curated record. The transcript is spliced from 3 exons. Lineage: Eukaryota; Metazoa; Chordata; Testudines; Geoemydidae.
UAAGAAACAGCAUAACAUUGAUUCACAGCAGCAGCCAGCAAGCAUAUUCAGGAUGGCCUAGUCUGCCAUUGCAUUGUCACAAAAGCAUAAAGACAUUUUUCAAAGAGAAGUGAGCAAGUGCUGCUGCAUUUGGACCGUGCAACGUAUUAAAAUUAAGAAGAGUGAUCAAUGUAGCACAUUGAAGCCAGGCAAAUCUUUGUUGUGGUGUUAUGAGCAGCUACUAGGCCUUGCCAUGGUCCUUUGUACGAAAUUUCUGUCCACCUGCAAAAUCCUUGCCAAAUUCAAUCAAUCUGAUCAAGAAAUAUUUGGAGGAGAAUGAUGUUGCUCAGACCAACAAAAUUAAAGAGAGAUUGACUGGAAAUAUAGUUAGUGCUUGAUUUUUGAUGAACCGCCAAAUGUUCUCAACCGUGGUGAUUUGUUUUCAUUUAUUGUAGAGAUGCUUGCACUCAUUUUGGCAGAUUUGGAGUUUGUAAAGUCAGCAAACAGUCAAACUGUUGCAGCUUCUGUCAGUAACACUUUAAAUGAAUAUGCACUUACCUGGAAGGAUGUAGCAAAAGUGAAUUCUGACUCAGCUUCUUACUUUGGAAAGUUCACACAAGAUGUAAAGCUGAAUGAAAAACCUGAAUUGCUUCAUUUGUCUUGCCCAGCUCACCUGCCGCACGUUGCUGUCUCUCAUGCAACAGGUGUUCCCAAAAUGGCUGAUUUUAAAAAGUUUGUAACCUGCUGGUGCAGUUUUCAAGCAUGCCAGUAAAACCAAAAACCUCUUCUAUGAUGUCUGUGAAGAAAUCAUGUUUGAAUGCAGCAUUCCAUUUCCAGUUGUACCAACAAGGUGGUUUAGUCUGUAUUUGGCUCCACAGAAUGUUCAGAAGGCAUGGAGUGUCUUAACGCGACUUUUACAUCAUGAAGAGCUCCACAGUGAAAAAAGCCAAAAAGCUGAAAUCUCAAGUGACUACACAAAAAAUUAGACAAAACCUUCAUACAAAACUCCAAUUACUGACUGAAACACUUCAACCACUACAUGAAGCACAGAAGAAAUUAGAAUACAAUUCUUUAACAUACAGCACAUUUUCUAAUACAGAGGUGUAUGGCAUUCUGGUUAACAAUUUCUAUCUCAAAAAAGCACAUCUGGGGAGAUUCCAGGAAAAAAACCCACACACCCAACUUUUCAUAUGUUGCCAGUCACUGAGCAGGACAACCUUGAAAAAGCUUUCAAAAGUUUUACGAAAAGCUGUCAAAGAAACAGGAAGCUACUGUCACUCGCAAUAUGUCCCCUGAAGCUUUUCACAGUGAAUCAUCAUUCUGGAAAGUCAUUGUGCUGUUUGACCCUCAUCAUAAAAGUGUGGCCUGAGCUGAUAAAUCUCACUCUUUGUGGAUUCUAACAAAGGAAGUGCAAAACUGGAAAGUGAAUUCCAUGCCUAUGGCAAUGUCUUCCCUGAACAACCGCUCCAUCACUCCUCCUGAAUUCUGAAAAAUCCACCACACUGACUUUCCAACUUUGAGGCGUGCUGCUUCUCGCAUCCUCAGUGUCCCACCUGGCUCAGCUGAUGUGGAGAGAGUAUUUUUGAAAUUUGUCUACAUCCAAGACCAUAGGAGAAUGGGCCUUGGAAAUGACUCCUUAAAAAGACUGCUGCUAGCUACACUAUGCAGGAAAAGUUUUGGAAAUUACACUGAAGGACUUCACAUAAAACAGCAGAAGUGACCAGUGAAAUUACAAAGUUGUGAGGAGCACCAGCACAGAGGGUCUGGAGAUUCCCAAUAGCAUCCACUAUCACAAAUGCCAUAGCACUUACAAUGACAAUAUACCUACAGGAGGAGGAGGUAAGAGCCAUGUGGCUGAAAUGAAAUAAGAAUGAAUAGUGGGAGUGACACUGUAUCUCUGGACUGAUGGAUUCUGACAGGAGGAGUUCUGAGUGAUUGGACAGAGAUCCCCAAAGGCAGUUUGGGUAUCCCUGAAAGAUUUAUGGAAAACUAGCAAAUUACUGCACCUCUGCAAUCAUUUAGCCCUA